GCCUAGAGACCGGAUGAAACCAGACAUUAAAACUGAAACUCGUUCUAGCCUGCGAGAAAGAAAGAAGUAAUUGGAAACAAUCGUCGGAAAAAUAUUAGCAAGAUUCUGAAAAAUAUCGUGAUGAUCACAAUUUGGCUUUUUUGAAACCAUUCAAAAACUCCCUGCAGCCGGAGUAACACGAGGAAACACCUGCCAGCUUAAUUCCAGCCAAACUCGGAGGUUUUUGGAACCGAGCAGGGGCGGCGCCAGAUAACUUUUCAUAAUAAUAUUUUUUUUAUAGCGCUUUUCUAAAUACCCAAAGUCGCUUUACAAGUGUGAGGACAAGCAAAACAAGACAACAGUAAAAUAUAAAGACAAAGGAUUGAACAAAACAAACAGAACAUUAUAUGCAGGUGCUGAGGGGGUGCUGGAUCAUUGACAGGGGGAGCUGCGCAAUUAUAUAUAUAUAUAAUUUUAUAUAAAAUACUAUUAAUAAAUUAGCUAAACUUGGCCACUCGUGAGGCUAAUUUGAAUGGAACUGCAGUUGUGCUAGCUGCCGUCUCUGCAUCCGCUGCAAACGCAGCGGACUGCUCCGUGUCAGACUCAAUCAACAUCCGAUUCCCCAAUCGGAUUUUACAGAAGUAAUUUUUUGGGGUGCUAUCGGGGUGCUUUGGUCUUUCAUGCGGGUGCUGAAGCACGUGCUAGCCCCUCCCUAGGCUGCUGAAAAGCAGCGGAAGCUCCAGAGGGUUUCAUCCUGGUUUAUGCCGGUCAUGGUGUUAACGAGUGUCUUGCAGUGCUGAUUCGUCAUCCAUCAAGAUGCUGGUCCUGAUGACUACACUUCUAUCAGGCCAGUGGCCUUUUGGUUCUUGUAGUUCUUAAUGACAGAUUUAUGUAGUUUUCCUAUGCAGUAUAAACUGAACUAAGCUUUGGGCUAGACUGUCCUUUUAUUUACAAGUUCACACAUACAUAUUAGAAACAGGUGCACCAAACAAACUCAACAUGUGUUCUUGUAUAUUGACCACAGGACUGUGUGCCUUCUCCUCAAGCCUUCCUCAUCAGUACCACCUUGUUAACGAACCAAAGACCUGGACUGAAGCCCAGAGAUACUGCAGACACUGACCUGGCCACCAUGUUCUUAGCCAAUGUGUUUAUUAAUGAAUACAUCUAUCAAUCGUUUAACUUCCUGUAGCAAUAUUUACAGACUUGUAGUGGAAAUAAGUUAUCUACUAGUUUAGGCCUCAUUUGUUCAGAACUUUCUUUGUAAAUAUUGUAUGACAUUCUUGAAUGCAAAAUGUUCUUCAUAACGAAUUAUUUUACUGAUUAAUAAACGUAUAAACAAAUU
Long non-coding RNA from Osmerus eperlanus (European smelt), 1321 nucleotides. RefSeq lists it as uncharacterized. The transcript is spliced from 3 exons. Lineage: Eukaryota; Metazoa; Chordata; Actinopteri; Osmeriformes; Osmeridae. The record is from RefSeq and is a predicted model, not a curated record.